AGUGAACGCUGGCGGUAGGCCUAACACAUGCAAGUCGAACGGCAGCACAGUAAGAGCUUGCUCUUACGGGUGGCGAGUGGCGGACGGGUGAGGAAUACAUCGGAAUCUACUUUUUCGUGGGGGAUAACGUAGGGAAACUUACGCUAAUACCGCAUACGACCUACGGGGGAAAGCAGGGGAUCUUCGGACCUUGCGCGAUUGAAUGAGCCGAUGUCGGAUUAGCUAGUUGGCGGGGUAAAGGCCCACCAAGGCGACGAUCCGUAGCUGGUCUGAGAGGAUGAUCAGCCACACUGGAACUGAGACACGGUCCAGACUCCUACGGGAGGCAGCAGUGGGGAAUAUUGGACAAUGGGCGCAAGCCUGAUCCAGCCAUACCGCGUGGGUGAAGAAGGCCUUCGGGUUGUAAAGCCCUUUUGUUGGGAAAGAAAAGCAGCAGGUUAAUACCCCGCUGUUCUGACGGUACCCACAGAAUAAGCACCGGCUAACUUCGUG
RNAcentral lists this ribosomal RNA (492 nucleotides) under uncultured bacterium. Its description in RNAcentral is "partial 16S ribosomal RNA". It matches the Rfam family "Bacterial small subunit ribosomal RNA", at positions 29 to 507 of the family's 1533-position model. The record is from RNAcentral.